GCGGACGUAGCUCAGCUGGUAGAGCGCAACCUUGCCAAGGUUGAGGUCGCGAGUUCGAACCUCGUCGUCCGCUC
Molecule: transfer RNA, 74 nt
Filed under: Streptomyces purpurascens
Lineage: Bacteria; Bacillati; Actinomycetota; Actinomycetes; Kitasatosporales; Streptomycetaceae
Also listed under: 14 other names
Description: tRNA-Gly(gcc)
Rfam family: tRNA
About the family: Transfer RNA (tRNA) molecules are approximately 80 nucleotides in length. Their secondary structure includes four short double-helical elements and three loops (D, anti-codon, and T loops). Further hydrogen bonds mediate the characteristic L-shaped molecular structure. tRNAs have two regions of fundamental functional importance: the anti-codon, which is responsible for specific mRNA codon recognition, and the 3' end, to which the tRNAs corresponding amino acid is attached (by aminoacyl-tRNA synthetases). tRNAs cope with the degeneracy of the genetic code in two manners: having more than one tRNA (with a specific anti-codon) for a particular amino acid; and 'wobble' base-pairing, i.e. permitting non-standard base-pairing at the 3rd anti-codon position.
Source: RNAcentral